GCGCUCGUAGCUCAAUUGGAUAGAGUGCUUGGCUUCGAACCAAGAGGUUCCAGGUUCAAAUCCUGGCGGGCGCA
RNAcentral lists this transfer RNA (74 nucleotides) under Candidatus Ryanbacteria bacterium CG10_big_fil_rev_8_21_14_0_10_43_42. RNAcentral's name for it is "tRNA-Arg". It matches the Rfam family "tRNA". Rfam says of the family: Transfer RNA (tRNA) molecules are approximately 80 nucleotides in length. Their secondary structure includes four short double-helical elements and three loops (D, anti-codon, and T loops). Lineage: Bacteria; Candidatus Ryaniibacteriota. The record is from RNAcentral.